This 441-nucleotide ribosomal RNA is filed under the name uncultured bacterium. Its description in RNAcentral is "partial 16S ribosomal RNA". It matches the Rfam family "Bacterial small subunit ribosomal RNA", at positions 339 to 795 of the family's 1533-position model. The record is from RNAcentral.
CUACGGGGGGCUCCAGUGGGGAAUAUUGCACAAUGGGCGAAAGCCUGAUGCAGCGACGCCGCGUGAAGGAAGAAGGUCUUCGGAUUGUAAACUUCUAUCAGCAGGGAAGAAUAAAUGACGGUACCUGACUAAGAAGCUCCGGCUAACUACGUGCCAGCAGCCGCGGUAAUACGUAGGGAGCGAGCGUUAUCCGGAUUUACUGGGUGUAAAGGGUGCGUAGGCGGUUUGUUAAGUCAGAAGUGAAAUUUAGGGGCUCAACCUCUAAGCUGCUUCUGAAACUGAUGAACUAGAGUGUGGGAGAGGAAAGUGGAAUUCCGAGUGUAGCGGUGAAAUGCGUAGAGAUUCGGAGGAACACCAGUAGCGAAGGCGGCUUUCUGGACCAUAACUGACGCUGAGGCACGAAAGCGUGGGGAGCGAACAGGAUUAGAUACCCCCGUAGUC